AGCAGUGUGGCUUAGUGGAAAGAGCCCAGGCUUGGGAGUCUAAGGUCUUGGGUUUUGAUCCCAGCUCUGCUA
Molecule: transfer RNA, 72 nt
Filed under: Ornithorhynchus anatinus (platypus)
Lineage: Eukaryota; Metazoa; Chordata; Mammalia; Monotremata; Ornithorhynchidae
Rfam family: tRNA
About the family: Transfer RNA (tRNA) molecules are approximately 80 nucleotides in length.
Source: Rfam by way of RNAcentral